Molecule: ribosomal RNA, 418 nt
Filed under: uncultured bacterium
Lineage: Bacteria
Description: bacterial SSU rRNA
Rfam family: Bacterial small subunit ribosomal RNA
Source: RNAcentral
UUUCUUUCAGAUAGCUGACUUAUUCUGCAUGGCUGUCGUCAGCUCGUGUCGUGAGAUGUUGGGUUAAGUCCCGCAACGAGCGCAACCCUCACCCCUUGUUGCCAUCAGGUUAUGCUGGGCACUCUAGGGGAACUGCCCCGGUCAACGGGGAGGAAGGCGGGGACGACGUCAAGUCAUCAUGCCCCUUACGUCCUGGGCUACACACGUGCUACAAUGGCCGGUACAAAGGGAUGCCACACCGCGAGGUAGAGCUAAACCCAAAAAGCCGGUCUAAGUUCAGAUUGGAGUCUGCAACUCGACUCCAUGAAGGAGGAAUCGCUAGUAAUCGCGUAUCAGCACGACGCGGUGAAUACGUUCCCGGGCCUUGUACACACCGCCCGUCACACCACGAAAGCCAGCUGUACUCGAAGUCGCUGAG